GCUCCUCUGAUCAGUGGCGAACGGGUGAGUAACACGUGAGCAACCUGCCCCAGACUCUGGGAUAACAGUUGGAAACAGCUGCUAAUACCGGAUACGAGACGGAGAGGCAUCUCUACCGUCUGGAAAGUUUUUCGGUCUGGGAUGGACUCGCGGCCUAUCAGCUAGUUGGUGAGGUAAUGGCUCACCAAGGCGACGACGGGUAGCCGGCCUGAGAGGGCGACCGGCCACACUGGGACUGAGACACGGCCCAGACUCCUACGGGAGGCAGCAGUGGGGAAUAUUGCACAAUGGGCGAAAGCCUGAUGCAGCGACGCCGCGUGAGGGAUGACGGCCUUCGGGUUGUAAACCUCUUUCAGCAGGGAAGAAGCGAAAGUGACGGUACCUGCAGAAGAAGCACCGGCUAACUACGUGCCAGCAGCCGCGGUAAUACGUAGGGUGCG
RNAcentral lists this ribosomal RNA (440 nucleotides) under uncultured bacterium. RNAcentral's name for it is "bacterial SSU rRNA". It matches the Rfam family "Bacterial small subunit ribosomal RNA", at positions 82 to 535 of the family's 1533-position model. The record is from RNAcentral.